This 253-nucleotide ribosomal RNA is filed under the name uncultured bacterium. RNAcentral describes it as "partial 16S ribosomal RNA". It matches the Rfam family "Bacterial small subunit ribosomal RNA", at positions 524 to 776 of the family's 1533-position model. The record is from RNAcentral.
CACGUAGGGUGCGAGCGUUGUCCGGAAUUAUUGGGCGUAAAGAGCUCGUAGGCGGUCUGUCGCGUCUGCUGUGAAAACUCGGGGCUUAACCCCGGGCCUGCAGUGGGUACGGGCAGACUAGAGUGCGGUAGGGGAGACUGGAAUUCCUGGUGUAGCGGUGAAAUGCGCAGAUAUCAGGAGGAACACCGGUGGCGAAGGCGGGUCUCUGGGCAACAACUGACGCUGAGGAGCGAAAGCGUGGGGAGCGAACAGG